GAUGAACGCUGGCGGCGUGCCUAAUACAUGCAAGUCGAGCGAACAGACGAGGAGCUUGCUCCUCUGACGUUAGCGGCGGACGGGUGAGUAACACGUGGAUAACCUACCUAUAAGACUGGGAUAACUUCGGGAAACCGGAGCUAAUACCGGAUAAUAUAUUGAACCGCAUGGUUCAAUAGUGAAAGACGGUUUUGCUGUCACUUAUAGAUGGAUCCGCGCCGCAGUAGCUAGUUGGUAAGGUAACGGCUUACCAAGGCGACGAUGCGUAGCCGACCUGAGAGGGUGAUCGGCCACACUGGAACUGAGACACGGUCCAGACUCCUACGGGAGGCAGCAGUAGGGAAUCUUCCGCAAUGGGCGAAAGCCUGACGGAGCAAAGCCGCGUGAGUGAUGAAGGUCUUCGGAUCGUAAAACUCUGUUAUUAGGGAAGAACAAAUGUGUAAGUAACUAUGCACGUCUUGACGGUACCUAAUCAGAAAGCCACGGCUAACUACGUG
RNAcentral lists this ribosomal RNA (497 nucleotides) under uncultured bacterium. RNAcentral describes it as "partial 16S ribosomal RNA". It matches the Rfam family "Bacterial small subunit ribosomal RNA", at positions 28 to 507 of the family's 1533-position model. The record is from RNAcentral.